Molecule: ribosomal RNA, 298 nt
Filed under: uncultured bacterium
Lineage: Bacteria
Description: partial 16S ribosomal RNA
Rfam family: Bacterial small subunit ribosomal RNA
Source: RNAcentral
GUCACCUACGGGGCGCAGCAGUGAGGAAUAUUGGUCAAUGGCCGCAGGGCUGAACCAGCCAAGUCGCGUGAGGGAUGACGGUCCUAUGGAUUGUAAACCUCUUUUGUCAGGGAGCAAAGGGCGCCACGUGUGGCGUUUUGCGAGUACCUGAAGAAUAAGCACCGGCUAACUACGUGCCAGCAGCCGCGGUAAUACGUAGGGUGCGAGCGUUAAUCGGAAUUACUGGGCGUAAAGGGUGUGCAGGCGGUUUUGCAAGCUGGGUGUGAAAGCGCCGGGCUUAACCUGGGAAAGCCGUACA